RNAcentral lists this ribosomal RNA (468 nucleotides) under uncultured bacterium. RNAcentral's name for it is "partial 16S ribosomal RNA". It matches the Rfam family "Bacterial small subunit ribosomal RNA", at positions 28 to 507 of the family's 1533-position model. The record is from RNAcentral.
GACGAACGCUGGCGGCGUGCUUAACACAUGCAAGUCGAACGGAAAGGCCCUGCUUUUGUGGGUUGCUCGAGUGGCGAACGGGUGAGUAACACGUGAGUAACCUGCCCUUGACUUUGGGAUAACUUCAGGAAACUGGGGCUAAUACCGGAUAGGAGCUCCUGCUGCAUGGUGGGGGUUGGAAAGUUUCGGCGGUUGGGGAUGGACUCGCGGCUUAUCAGCUUGUUGGUGGGGUAGUGGCUUACCAAGGCUUUGACGGGUAGCCGGCCUGAGAGGGUGACCGGCCACAUUGGGACUGAGAUACGGCCCAGACUCCUACGGGAGGCAGCAGUGGGGAAUAUUGCACAAUGGGCGGAAGCCUGAUGCAGCAACGCCGCGUGCGGGAUGACGGCCUUCGGGGUGUAAACCGCUUUCGCCUGUGACGAAGCGUGAGUGACGGUAAUGGGUAAAGAAGCACCGGCUAACUACGUG